This 253-nucleotide ribosomal RNA is filed under the name uncultured bacterium. RNAcentral describes it as "partial 16S ribosomal RNA". It matches the Rfam family "Bacterial small subunit ribosomal RNA", at positions 524 to 776 of the family's 1533-position model. The record is from RNAcentral.
UACAGAGGUCUCAAGCGUUGUUCGGAUUCAUUGGGCGUAAAGGGUGCGUAGGUGGCGGGGCAAGUCAGGUGUGAAAUCUCGGGGCUCAACCCCGAAACUGCACUUGAUACUGCUUUGCUCGAGUACUGGAGAGGAGACUGGAAUUUACGGUGUAGCAGUGAAAUGCGUAGAUAUCAAGUGGAACACCAGUGGCGAAGGCGAGUCCCUGGACAACUCCUGACACUGAGACGCGAAAGCGUGGGGAGCGAACAGG